This is a long non-coding RNA of Schistocerca nitens (vagrant locust), 710 nucleotides long. RefSeq lists it as uncharacterized. Lineage: Eukaryota; Metazoa; Arthropoda; Insecta; Orthoptera; Acrididae. The transcript is spliced from 3 exons. The record is from RefSeq and is a predicted model, not a curated record.
GGCAGUGCUUGUUGAGAUGUAGCAGUGGUGAGUCGUAGUUGAGAAGUUGCGGUAGUGAGUGCUUGUUCAGAAUUUGUAGUAUUGUUUUGAUGGGCUAGACACCAGAUGUUAUUGGAUUGGGAGGCUGUAAUGAUCAGUGUGCUUUUCGUCAAUAUAUAUGAAGUGUGCCUUGGCUUGAGAGUGGCCAAUGGUUGUCAGUGCGCCGUCUUUGAAGCCACGAGAUUCUGUUAAUUGGUAAACCGCUUGUGAGCAAAUGCUUGGGGUGCGACGUUAUUAACUGAAAUGGUAACACCGGUCAGUGGCACUGUAUCCCGUUGCAGUGGCAUGGUGCUGUAUCAGUCUGUUGCAGUUUGAGGGUGCUGCCUCACGUGUGAUUUACGUUCACAGCUGAUUACAAAAACGCGAGUCUACCUUGGUGUUGCAGCCGUGACUGGGCCGCUACCUUGGCGGCAUACUGCCCAGCACCCGAGGUCUAAGUUAUUGCCGCGGGAGCGCUUGGCCGCGUUGUCGGUCACACCCAGCAAAAGUUGAGUGUCUUGUUCCUUAGAGCUAUACCUGGGUUGAGCGGCUGCCGCCAGGGUUUUAGGCUGUGGAGUUUGCGGAAUUAACUCAUGAACUUUUGUAGAUUAAGAUUCAAAUUUCAUUCUUACUGUUAUAAACUCAGAUGCUUUGUGUUUAUUGAAUACUGUUUUCUUUUGCAUAUAUUGGUA